CCUACGGGAGACAGCAGUGGGGAAUAUUGCACAAUGGGGGAAACCCUGAUGCAGCGACGCCGCGUGAGUGAAGAAGUAUUUCGGUAUGUAAAGCUCUAUCAGCAGGGAAGAAAAUGACGGUAUCUGAUUAAGAAGCGCCGGCUAACUACGUGCCAGCAGCCGCGGGAAUACGUAGGGGGCAAGCGUUAUCCGGAUUUACUGGGUGUAAAGGGAGCGUAGACGGCAGCACAAGUCUGGAGUGAAAUGCCGGGGCUUAACCCCGGAACUGCAUUGGAAACUGUGUAGCUAGAGUGCAGGAGAGGUAGGUGGAAUUCCUAGUGUAGCGGUGAAAUGCGUAGAUAUUAGGAGGAACACCAGUGGCGAAGGCGGCUUACUGGACUGUAACUGACGUUGAGGCUCGAAAGCGUGGGGAGCAAACAGGAUUAGAUACCCCAGUAGUC
This 440-nucleotide ribosomal RNA is filed under the name uncultured bacterium. RNAcentral describes it as "partial 16S ribosomal RNA". It matches the Rfam family "Bacterial small subunit ribosomal RNA", at positions 338 to 795 of the family's 1533-position model. The record is from RNAcentral.